RNAcentral lists this long non-coding RNA (3176 nucleotides) under Homo sapiens (human). RNAcentral's name for it is "non-protein coding lnc-ATP6V1D-8:5". The record is from RNAcentral. Lineage: Eukaryota; Metazoa; Chordata; Mammalia; Primates; Hominidae.
CUCUCGCCGGCGGGCCGGCUUUCUACGCGGGGGCAGCGAGGCUGGCUCAGCACCCCGGGCCUCCUCUUGCAACCCUCGGGAAUGGCCGGCCGCCCCACUGAAAGCGCUGGGGAACCGAGAGGUGUCUUAGAAAGCUGCAUGAGUGGCAGAACGGUGGCUACUAUGACAGAGAGGCCGCCGUGGGCGAAGAGGGAGGUAUCCUGUCCUGCCUCGUGCUAGCCGCUGGCUUCCUCAGUGGGCUCUCCCUGAAGGAGGAUUUCCGCUUCACCUAUGCUUUAGGAUUCCAUCUCCAGUCAGUGCCUGCAAGACGAUCCUCACGUGCGAAACUGAGGAGUCUGAGGCAGGGCAGCUGGAGUGGAGAUACCUGGCUUCUCUUCCUCCUGCUGUCCCACGGUUUUGUGGCCUUAAGCCUCUUCGCCAUGAGCGCUGCUUUUAGAUGAAAAGCAUCAAUCUCCUUAGCGAACGAGAACGUGUUCCACCUGAACCACAGUCCAUUGCCGCGGCGAUUUUCAUUUCAGUAUUCGUGGGAUGUGAGAUUACCAUGAAAGUAGCUUUUGUUGCCAUUUAUUUCCAUGUGCCUUUCAUGAAACGUGUUAUUAAUCACCUGUGGCUAUUCUACGUUAGUUUCUUACUAUCGUUCUGGACCUUUCAACUUCUGAAUUUUAAAAAGUUAUAUGCGUGUGUGUGUGUGUACACACACUCAUAUGUAUAUGUUUUCUCUUCUUAGCUGUAGUAACCUGGAGGCAUAAAAGUGAAAAGCAAAGUAUUAAAAGAUGUAUAUCAGUGUUUAUACACAAAUUUCAAAGUCACUUUGAUAGGUUUUUUUUUGGUUUUGGUUUUGGUUUUUUUUGAUCCGGAGUCUCGCUCUGUCGCCAGGCUCCAGUGCAGUGGCGCGAUCUCGGCUCACUUGCAACCUCUGCCUCCCAGGUUCAAGCGAUUCUCCUGCGUCAGCCUCCCGAGUAGCUGGAACUACAGGCGCGUGCCACGACACCCAGCUAAUUUUUGUAUUAUUAGUAGAGACGGGGUUUCACCAUGUUGGCCAGGAUAGUCUCGAUCAAGAUCUUGACCUCGUGACCCGCCCGCCUUGGCCUCCCAAAGUGCUGGGAUUACAGGUGUGAGCCACCGUGCCUGGCCGAUUAUGAGUUUUUUAUUGUUCCGUUGGAACAUGAAAUUACCCAUCCUCUGAAGAUUCACGUGCUUAUGUAUUUCAUUUUAAAUAAUGGGGCCUAAAAGUAGAUGAUGGAUGGAAUUGAAGUGGGUAAAAUAAAUUAAUGGCUUUUUUGCUUUUGUUUUUGUUUUUAGUAUGUGUAUUGCUGGUAUUUUUGACAGUAAUUAAAAAUUUAAGCCAGGUCAUGAACUCAUUCCCUAUCAUUGUCACCUUAGAUCCUGGUGGCCAACGGGUUGUUAACUAGUUUGAAAUGAGAGAUAAAGAUAAGAAAGUAUGUCCAAGAGAAUGAUUUCCGUUAUCUCAAACUAAACAUGAAGAGCAAAUAGUUGGUUAUAUUGUUAUCUUCCUAACCUAUCUCUAUUCUCUGCAACACACUCUAAAUGAUUAGAAAAUAUCUUGAGCUUAUCGUCUGUCUUACAUCUAUCUUAGACGUAAGGUCUAAACCUGCCCACUAACAGGUUGUGACCCUAAACAAAUUUGGGCCUUUUCCUUCAUCCUUUAAAUAAGAUGGUAGACUAAAUAAGUACCUUUUAAGUAUAGUGGUAGACUAAAUAAGCACUCCUUUAAUUAGAAUAUUCUGUAAUUAUUCAUGGAAGAAAACUGGCACUUUAUUUCACAAAUCAAUAAUAAGAGGACAAGAGACUAACUUUCUGCAUUCAUAAAAGGGGUGAUGGUUAAAUUCAUUAAAAUUUAAGUGGGAAGGGUGGAUAUGAAUUAAAUUUUCUAAAGCAGCAGUCCCCAACAUUUUUGGCACCAGGGAUCUGUUUUGUGGAAGACAAUUUUUCCAUGGAUGGAGAUGGGGAGGGUUGAUGGUUUCGGGAUGAAGCUGUUCUAGAAAACUGCAGAUCAUAAGGUAUUAGAUUCUGAUAAGAAGCCACAACCUAAAUCCCACGCAUCCGCAGUUCACAAUAGGGUUCAUGCUCCUAUGACAAUCUAAUGCAGCCACUGAUCUGACAGGAGGCGGAGCUCAGGCAGUAAUGGUUACUGCCUGCUGUGUGGCCUGGUUCCUAAUAGGCCACAGAUGGGUACCUGUCCAUGGCCCAGAGUUUGGGGACCCCUGUUCUAAAGUAUAUGGAGGUUUAUUAACAUUCAUUAUGUUUUACUGACUGUAAGUAUUAAAAUUCCUAAAAAAUAAUAAUGGAACUAAAUUAUAAUGCUUGUCUUUCAACCGUUUUUCUUAAGUGUAUUCAUCUUUCUCAAAUUCAGCAACCUUUUACAAACCUUACAAAGGAAAAACGCAGUGACUUUACUGUCUAGAGUGAACUUUUACUGAUGGUUAUUGAAUGAAUAUUAUAAUAUGUACACACUAUUACUCUUGUUACAGUGUGACAUUCUUCAGAAUUCAUCCUGGAAUCAAUAUUAUGCCAAAGAAAAUUUUCUGAAAGACAGUCUUGCUGUGUCAGCCAGGCUGGAAUGCAGUGGCACCAUCUCAGUUCACUGCAACUUCUGUCUCCUGGGCUCAAGUAAUUCUCCUGCCUCAGCCUCCCGAGUAGCUGGGAUUACAGCUACACAGAUCAUACCACUGCAACUCAGCCAACCAGCACAUCGGACAGUGGGAGGAGGAAUUCUUGGCUAAGAGUACUGAGAGAUGGGGUUUCACCAUGUUAACCAGGAUUGUCUCAAUCUCCUGACCGCGUGAUCCACCUGCCUCAGCCUCCCAAAGUGCUGGGAUUACAGGCGUGAGCCACCAUGCCUGGCCAAAAUUCUGUAUGUCUUUCUAAUCUCACUUCCUAAUGGAGAUAAAAUAGAUCUCAGGCUUAUGUAUUUUUCUAGAACAUUAAAAUCUUGUUUUUUGUGUAUUUAUUAUUAAGUUUACCUUCUAUUGUGGAAAACUCUAUUGAUUCUUCAUUUAAAAUAGUAAUAUAAAUUUUAUUUUCAAGGAAUGCAUUUAGGAAACUAAAGAAGUCAAUGUAAACAACAAAUAUUGAAUAAAUAAUAGUCCAGGUGAUACACAAAGUUGGAAAAUACUACAACACCUACCAUUAAGAAAUUAUUACCAAAUAGGUUG